GACGAACGCUGGCGGCGUGCUUAACACAUGCCAGUCGAACGGAAAGGCCCUGCUUGCAGGGUACUCGAGUGGCGAACGGGUGAGUAACACGUGGGUGAUCUGCCCUGCACUUCGGGAUAAGCCUGGGAAACUGUGUCUAAUACCGGAUAGGAGCCAUUUUUAGUGUGAUUGUUGGAAAGUUUUUUCGGUGUAGGAUGAGCUCGCGGCCUAUCAGCUUGUUGGUGGGGUAAUGGCCUACCAAGGCGGCGACGGGUAGCCGGCCUGAGAGGGUGGACGGCCACAUUGGGACUGAGAUACGGCCCAGACUCCUACGGGAGGCAGCAGUGGGGAAUAUUGCACAAUGGGCGGAAGCCUGAUGCAGCGACGCCGCGUGGGGGAUGACGGCCUUCGGGUUGUAAACCCCUUUCGCUAGGGACGAAGCUUUUUGUGCCGGUACCUAGAUAAGAAGCACCGGCUAACUACGU
Molecule: ribosomal RNA, 464 nt
Filed under: uncultured bacterium
Lineage: Bacteria
Description: partial 16S ribosomal RNA
Rfam family: Bacterial small subunit ribosomal RNA
Source: RNAcentral